GUGGGGAAUACUGCACAAUGGGGGAAACCCUGAUGCAGCAACGCCGCGUGAGUGAUGACGGUCUUCGGAUUGUAAAACUCUGUCUUCAGGGACGAUAAUGACGGUACCUGAGGAGGAAGCCACGGCUAACUACGUGCCAGCAGCCGCGGUAAUACGUAGGUGGCAAGCGUUGCCCGGAUUUACUGGGCGUAAAGGGAGUGUAGGUGGAUAUUUAAGUGGGAUGUGAAAUACUCGGGCUUAACCUGGGUGCUGCAUUCCAAACUGGAUAUCUAGAGUGCAGGAGAGGAAAGUAGAAUUCCUAGUGUAGCGGUGAAAUGCGUAGAGAUUAGGAAGAAUACCAGUGGCGAAGGCGACUUUCUGGACUGUAACUGACACUGAGGCUCGAAAGCGUGGGGAGCAAACAGGAUUAGAUACCCGGGUAGUCC
This 425-nucleotide ribosomal RNA is filed under the name uncultured bacterium. Its description in RNAcentral is "partial 16S ribosomal RNA". It matches the Rfam family "Bacterial small subunit ribosomal RNA", at positions 354 to 796 of the family's 1533-position model. The record is from RNAcentral.